RNAcentral lists this long non-coding RNA (257 nucleotides) under Hordeum vulgare. Its description in RNAcentral is "long non-coding RNA (HVUL_LNC018277)". The record is from RNAcentral. Lineage: Eukaryota; Viridiplantae; Streptophyta; Magnoliopsida; Poales; Poaceae.
GGAAUUCAACAGGAAUUGGCGGCAUUCUUUCUUGACCACGUGAUCGCUAAAGACGGAGAAUACUAUGUGGACCCUGCAAGGUUCAAUUUUAAUUAGGAGAUUAUAUUGUAAAAGAUACUUAUAUUGUAUAUAUGUAGCCAGUAGCGUCGGAUAGAUAUACGAGAACUUGUUGUUCGACCAAUCUCUCAGAGAAGGAGAGGUGGUCGAUAUCACUUCUCUUUGUAUGCAUCUGUUCAUGACGAUCUUCUGUUUCCUUC